GGAGCUCGUCUGCAGUGGGGGCGGUGCAGAGGAAGGGGAAUGCUCGGUGGGUUUUGGCCCCUUGGGAUCUUUUCUUGUCGGGAUUUGCAGAAUGCAAAUCAGGAAUUCAGAUCCUGCCAUUUCCAGCGGGAUUGAGAUGCCAGGCUCUCCAUUUCCAGCCAUGCUGGGCUGUGAAAUAAGCAGAGAGGAGGAAAUCUGGUUGCUGCUCCCUGUCCUGUUUCUGAUUAUGUCUCGUUUUCCUGGAUGUGAGGCCUCUCCAGAGGGAGAGACAUGACAAAAAAAAGGGCAGGGGAGAUUGUGUGACCUGGGAGAGUGUUCUGGGACCCUCAGUCGUCCUUUUCUGCUGUGCCUGUGUGUCCCCACUUCUUUGCAGUAAAUACUUCCUGCACUGCUGUGGCAGAGAAGAGCUGCACAGCUCACAGCAAAGCACCAGGAGUGCUGGGCAGGGAUGGCCAGAGGCUGCAGCUGCCCAAAAUGUGUCUGAAUCACAGCAAAAAGCACCGUGAGACUCCCAGGAGAGCCAGUGCAUGGGAGAUCAAUCACGGCAAGCACUAAAGUCCAGUGGGGAUGAAAGCUGAGAUAAUGGACCUGGGACUCGCUGGCCCACAGGACAGUUUUGAUUCACUGAGGUGAAUUUAUGCCCACCUGCACUGUCUUUCCCAAUGCCUGCUUGCUGCUGCCAGCGUGAUUAAUUCUGUGAAGCAUUUUGGGGAUMCUGGGGAGAAGAGGUGCACGGGUGUGUUAUGUCUAAUUCAUCUUUCUAAAUCCUGAGCUCUGUGAGUUACGUGCCUCUGCUGAUCAGAGUUUCCUCUGCAGAAAAACCUGCACUAAAGACUUCAGUUCCUGAUUAUAUGCCUCAUACUGGAAUGGUCCUAUUUUCCAGUCCAGAGGCAGCUUGAAAUCUCACACAAAGAAGAUUUAAUAAAGCAUUUCCUUUCAGAGCUCAGCCAGACACCAGAGAUUUCACAGCACUCAGCUAACUGCAAACCCCAGGUCACCCAUGGCCCCUUUCUCCAACAUCUCAUUUCAGUUCUCUGAUUAACUUGGCUCAGCUCCUCCUUUUCACCUUUUUUUUAUGAUGGCAGGACCACUUCUAUUUGUUGUUGUUCCCGGCGUUUAUUUUMCUAAUUUUUACAAUCUGAAUUUUUGAGAGUAAAAAAGGAUUUGGAGGGUCUGAGAUGACGGAGUGCACAUAUUGAUGGUUGUUUGGUGGAUGCUGUGCACCAUUCCACAUCCUCCAAAAGCAAAUGCAAAACUCAUCAGGAGAUCCUGCCCCGGUGUGCGGAGUUCACUGGCCAGUUUUGAAAAUCAAAAACCUGUUGCUCAAUUUUUGUGAGUUCAUUAAAAAGGGAGUGGGAUUUUAUGAUAUUUUUUUCCUUGGAUUUCCUGGAAACCUUCCUGGUUCCUAAAAAAGCACCUUUGGCCAAUCUCCCAUUGUUUUUUCCAGGGCUGGGUGCAGUGUGGGGAGUGUCCAGUCUCCACCUGCAGUCACGUCUCCUUGAUUUUUUUUUUGACAUAAAGGAUUAUUGGGUCGUGCCAACCUCAGCCUCUCCCAUAAGGUUUUGUGUGGCUGUAAAUGCCCCGAUAGUGGGGACACAUUUCUCAAAAGGCUGAGCURUGGUAGGAUAGUUCUUUUUGAUAUUUCUGAGCUCCUGUGUGGCUGGGCAGUCACCGCCCUUCGUGGGGCAGUCCAGGCUGUGACUCAGCACCUUGCAGGUUUUCAGCAAGCACAGAGAGGUUUUAGAGGAUUUUAGAUUCCUGUCUCUCGCUGCUAUUGGGACUUUUGAAAUACAGAGUGGGAGAAGGCUGCGUUGUAACUGAAAUUACGGUACUGAUUUGAGCCUUCAGGUUACUCAGGCAGAUCUUUAGGUGUUAUAAAUCCAUGUUCCACCCAGAGUGACUUUGGAAAUACACUGCUCUAUGUCAGCUGGGCAGCAGUGAAUAACCAUGGGGACUAUAACAAGAGCAGCACAUGGUGUGUUGGGACUGCCACAGAAGCAGAGAAAACAUUGGAUUCCAGAGUUGGUUUUAGUGUUUCUUCAACUCUGAAAUGCUCAGCACUAAAUGCAAUAUGGAAGUGAAGUAUGGACCCUCUCCAUCAAAGCCAAGCACCUACUUCUUCUGCUCUCCCUGAAAACCUCGGUGUCUCCUCCUUGCUCUUUUGUACCSAGGUACCAGCCAAGCAGAGCGAUAUUAAUUCCGAAAGUGGAGUUGCUGUGAUUGCCAAGGUCUGCAGCUCGGUGUCGUGCCUAUAAAUAUUAAUGGUCACUCUGCAUGCUGUGUGUUCCUGCAAUGGGCUCACGGGACAGCUUGCUUUGAACCAGAGAAAACAUGAAAAUGACCCUAUUUUUCAUCCUCCCCUCCCCACUUAAUGCCUUUGUAGAUAAUUGGCAUUUAGCAAAGGCCAAGUCAGCAUUUCCACUUCUUCUCGCUCGUAUUUUCUGGGGUUUCUAACUUAGUCAUAAAAAUUCACUUAAGGCGGCAGCUUGGCAGGAAAGGGAUCAGCAUACCAGCUAACGCUGAAAAUUUAUUUGGACCUUGACGUUUAAAAGUUCGAGCAAGCCAUUUUGGAGAUCAGUCAACAUGACCUCUCGCCCUGGGAAAACACAUGGUUUGGCCAGAACUGUGAACAGCACAUCCACCUAGGAUGCAGUUCCUUUUUGUGCACAGCCUGUUAAUCACAUUACUGCUGUGCUGACUGAAAUUGCAAUCCUGUUGCUGCAGAGGCUGAGCAAAGAACUCACUGCAAAAAAAAAAGCUUUCUGCCCUAGAGAGUGACAUAUUACAACAACACGGUUUGCCAGUGGGUGAAACAAGCAAAGCAAGAGUUGAAAUGGGAACGAACAAGCAGAGAAAUGCCCCGGCUCRGUGGAUGCGGGCCAGCAUGUGAUGUUCACGCCAUCGGUGCCCAUCAGGAGAGCAGAACAUGAGCAGAACACCCAGCAGAGCACCCAGCACGGAUAUARACUCAUCCAUGGGCACGCAACAGGCGGUCCCAAGCGCCUGAGGUGUGAUCAGUGCUGGCACCGUGGACCAGCCGCGGCAGAACCCGUUUGGCUUGCUCUGGAGGCGGCGUGGGGCCCCAGAACCAGGAGCUGCUCRGCUGGUCUGGUGGCCAUGUGGGAGGGAGUUCCUGAAACUGGCACGGCUCUUCCCGAGCUCUGUCUGCUGCAAAGAGCACCCAGAGGUUCUGCUGAGGAGCACCCAUYGAUGAAGCCACCCAUGGGACAGCGAGCAGCAAUUUUUUUUCCUGCAAUUUUCGUGGAUAGGAGAGAGACAUUUAAGUUAAUAUCCUGCUGAAGGAAAGAUAAUGCCAGAGAGCACAGCCAAAGCCAUGAGAGACGGGGAGUGUGACAAGGGCUGAAGGGAAGCAGACAGAGGAGGAGAGCUUGGCCAUGGAAAGGCAGCUCAGCCACCAGCCUUGCUGACCUCAUUCGACCCAAUCUGAUGGAAACAGAGAGGUCUCACAGCCCCAAAAUUCCUGCAAUUUUCAUGAACAAACAGCAGCUGGAUAGGAGAGAGACAUUUCAGUUAAUAUCCUGCUGGAGGAAAGAGAUAGGCUUUGAUUGACACUUCAAAUCUGCCUGACAAUCUUUUAUUCUAAGCGCAGUUGCUGCCUUUCUUCAGAGCAGGAAGAGCUGGUUGGGUUGCUGUCCUUCAAAUGAUGCAUCUUAUCAUGGGAAAAAGUAGGAAAAAAAAAUCCACAAACCACCUAGAAAGAACUACAGGAGCAGCAUAAAAAGAGGACAAGACCAAGGACCAGCCCUGGAAGAUGUUUUAGGUCCCUCUGUGUGACAAUCUCAGUGAAUUGUGAGAUGGAGAA
Molecule: RNA transcript, 3823 nt
Organism: Malurus melanocephalus (red-backed fairy wren)
Lineage: Eukaryota; Metazoa; Chordata; Aves; Passeriformes; Maluridae
Gene: TINCR
Gene name: TINCR ubiquitin domain containing
Exons: 5
Source: RefSeq, a predicted model, not a curated record